Molecule: ribosomal RNA, 254 nt
Filed under: uncultured bacterium
Lineage: Bacteria
Description: partial 16S ribosomal RNA
Rfam family: Bacterial small subunit ribosomal RNA
Source: RNAcentral
UACAGAGGGUGCGAGCGUUGUCCGGAAUCACUGGGCGUAAAGGGCGCGUAGGUGGUGGCUUAAGCGUGCGGUGAAAGCUCGGAGCUCAACUCCGAGUCGGCCGUGCGAACUGGGCUCACUGGAGCAUAGUAGAGGCAGGUGGAAUUCCGGGUGUAGCGGUGGAAUGCGUAGAGAUCCGGAAGAACACCGGUGGCGAAGGCGGCCUGCUGGGCAGUGGCUGACGCUGAGGCGCGACAGCGUGGGGAGCAAACAGG